RNAcentral lists this ribosomal RNA (253 nucleotides) under uncultured bacterium. Its description in RNAcentral is "partial 16S ribosomal RNA". It matches the Rfam family "Bacterial small subunit ribosomal RNA", at positions 524 to 776 of the family's 1533-position model. The record is from RNAcentral.
UACGGAGGAUCCAAGCGUUAUCCGGAAUCAUUGGGUUUAAAGGGUCCGUAGGCGGCUCAGUAAGUCAGUGGUGAAAUCUCGCGGCUCAACCGGGAAAUGGCCAUUGAUACUGUUGGGCUUGAAUUAUUAGGAAGUAACUAGAAUAUGUAGUGUAGCGGUGAAAUGCUUAGAGAUUACAUGGAAUACCAAUUGCGAAGGCAGGUUACUACUAAUGGAUUGACGCUGAUGGACGAAAGCGUGGGUAGCGAACAGG